UGGGGAAUAUUGCACAAUGGGCGAAAGCCUGAUGCAGCGACGCCGCGUGAGUGAAGAAGGCCUUCGGGUCGUAAAACUCUGUCCUUGGUGAAGAAAAAAAUGACGGUAGCCAAGGAGGAAGCCCCGGCUAACUACGUGCCAGCAGCCGCGGUAAUACGUAGGGGGCGAGCGUUGUCCGGAUUUACUGGGCGUAAAGGGUGAGUAGGCGGUUGUAUAAGUCAGAUGUAAAAGGCGCAGGCUUAACUUGUGUAAGCAUUUGAAACUGUACAACUUGAGUGCAGGAGAGGUAAGUGGAAUUCCUAGUGUAGCGGUGAAAUGCGUAGAUAUUAGGAGGAACACCAGUGGCGAAGGCGACUUACUGGACUGUAACUGACGCUGAGUCACGAAAGCGUGGGUAGCAAACA
RNAcentral lists this ribosomal RNA (404 nucleotides) under uncultured bacterium. RNAcentral's name for it is "bacterial SSU rRNA". It matches the Rfam family "Bacterial small subunit ribosomal RNA", at positions 355 to 774 of the family's 1533-position model. The record is from RNAcentral.